GAGUCAAUGGCUCGCUUCCCAAGCGGGAGAGGUUCAACAGUCCAAGUUUCAUUCUUCUCAAGAGCUUCAAUUUCAUGGCUUAUGGCCUCAUGCUAAUGCUCAUGUUUGAUGGCCUGAAAAUAAGUACGUGGCUCAUCUACAAAAGUGAUGGCCGUCAAAAAAAAUAGAGCGAGCAGUGGAUAGUCUAUCUCAUGGGAUAAAUGUGAAGAGAAGAUACACUACACCAG
Molecule: long non-coding RNA, 227 nt
Filed under: Elaeis guineensis (African oil palm)
Lineage: Eukaryota; Viridiplantae; Streptophyta; Magnoliopsida; Arecales; Arecaceae
Description: long non-coding RNA (EGUI_LNC015182)
Source: RNAcentral